This 84-nucleotide transfer RNA is filed under the name Vibrio phage nt-1. It matches the Rfam family "tRNA". Rfam says of the family: Transfer RNA (tRNA) molecules are approximately 80 nucleotides in length. Their secondary structure includes four short double-helical elements and three loops (D, anti-codon, and T loops). The record is from Rfam by way of RNAcentral. Lineage: Duplodnaviria; Heunggongvirae; Uroviricota; Caudoviricetes; Pantevenvirales; Straboviridae.
GGUUCGUUAGACUAAUGGUAAGUCAGGGGAUUGUAAAUCCCUCGCCCUUAAUCGGGCUUCUAGGUUCGAGUCCUAGGCGGACCA